RNAcentral lists this ribosomal RNA (429 nucleotides) under Actinomycetes bacterium. RNAcentral's name for it is "Actinobacteria bacterium partial 16S ribosomal RNA". It matches the Rfam family "Bacterial small subunit ribosomal RNA", at positions 355 to 776 of the family's 1533-position model. Lineage: Bacteria; Bacillati; Actinomycetota; Actinomycetes. The record is from RNAcentral.
UAGGGAAUCUUCCGCAAUGGGCGAAAGCUUGACGGAGCAACGCCGCGUGAGUGAUGAAGGUCUUCGGAUCGUAAAACUCUGUUAUUAGGGAAGAACAAAUGUGUAAGUAACUAUGCACGUCUUGACGGUACCUAAUCAGAAAGCCACGGCUAACUACGUGCCAGCAGCCGCGGUAAUACGUAGGUGGCAAGCGUUAUCCGGAAUUAUUGGGCGUAAAGCGCGCGUAGGCGGUUUUUUAAGUCUGAUGUGAAAGCCCACGGCUCAACCGUGGAGGGUCAUUGGAAACUGGAAAACUUGAGGGCAGAAGAGGAAAGUGGAAUUCCAUGUGUAGCGGUGAAAUACGCAGAGAUAUGGAGGAACACCAGUGGCGAAGGCGACUUUCUGGUCUGUAACUGACGCUGAUGUGCGAAAGCGUGGGGAUCAAACAGG